RNAcentral lists this ribosomal RNA (127 nucleotides) under Clostridium botulinum. RNAcentral's name for it is "partial 23S ribosomal RNA". It matches the Rfam family "Bacterial large subunit ribosomal RNA", at positions 1 to 119 of the family's 2925-position model. Lineage: Bacteria; Bacillati; Bacillota; Clostridia; Eubacteriales; Clostridiaceae. The record is from RNAcentral.
AAUUUUAAGGUCAAGCUACAAAGGGCGCAUGGUGAAUGCCUUGGCACUAGGAGCCGAAGAAGGACGCGAUAAGCUGCGAUAAGCCUUGGGUAGCCGCAAAUAGGCUGAGAUCCAGGGAUUUCCGAAU